Molecule: long non-coding RNA, 1010 nt
Organism: Phyllostomus discolor (pale spear-nosed bat)
Lineage: Eukaryota; Metazoa; Chordata; Mammalia; Chiroptera; Phyllostomidae
Exons: 3
Source: RefSeq, a predicted model, not a curated record
UAAUGUGACAACCCUUCAGAAAACCUGUGAUACAGGAAACACAGAGCGCUGUCCAGACCCCGCCUGUGUGGCCAGUACCUGUCUCAGCUGCCCCCGUGUCUGCGUUUAAGAGUUUGGAGCACUUUACGGCUGCAUCUUUUGACCAAGAAAGUACACUUAUGGUGUAGGUUCAUAUUUACUGCAUUUACAAGUGUUUGUUGCUUGGUGAUUUCCCUUUGCCAUUUUUGGAAGUGAAUAAUACCUCUACUUCACAGAGGAGGAACCUGGUACAGGACUAAUGAAUUAAUUAUGGCCAACAUGUUGUUGGAGAGCUCCAACCAAACUGAACAAAACUGAACCAAACAGAUUAUAAACACGGCUGCAGUCACUGUCAUAUAAAUGACUGUAGUGUUUACCUCAAUGCCAGGAAUUCAAGGAAAUGAAAACAGUUUUCAUUUAUGGAAAUAAGGUUUUCCUAAUUAUACCAGUUGUUUUCAUGUGACACUAUCAGGUACCUUUUCAACAUGCUUUCUAACAGAUUAGUAAAGAUUUCUCUGAAAUUUCCUUUUCUCAUACAUACAGUUGAAUCAGUACAUUUUUACAAUAAUCAAGAGAUAAUUUAAUUCUAAAUAUCCUCAAUUCCUCUUUAUUUUUACUUAUUAUUAUUAGGGCUCCUUUGCACUGAGGUCUGAAUGACGCCACCUUUUACCUCCUCAAAACCAACUGCUCUCAUCCCUACAAAGUCUACGUAGAUCUUGGGAAAAUACCUUUCCUUGAAGCCUUACUACGUUUUGUAUUCUUUUAUAUGCAGCAUGCCAGUGUAUCUUAUUAAAAGGAUCAUCCAAGGGUUGGGUUGGGUUGGGUAUUCUCCUCUCUUCUUUAUGAACAGGUAGAUCAUUUAAGGGUAACACAGUUCCACUGUUUAGAACUGCCAUCACAGAAAUGCAACUAAUCCCUGUUGAAAGACGUUUUUAGUCCCACAAAAUACCAGGAGAACCUAAAUCUGCUACUUAAAUCAGUCAAAUUUUUAU